AUUUUAUUACCCAUCAUAUACCCAAAAAAAAUUAUAUUUUAUUACACUUUAUAUAUCCAAAAAAACAAUUAAAAUAUAUUUUAUUACCCAUUUAACUUUUUUUUGAUUUUUUCUAGUUUUUUGACCAAUUUCGCUUCCACAAAUGCGACUCAAACUAUUCUGCUAACUUUUCUGACCUAUUGAUUUAAUUUUUCAUCUUUUUUUUUUUGUCUUUUUUAGAGAUAUCAUCUUUUUUAGAGAUAUCAAGAUAACAUUGAAGUAGUAUAAACAUUUUCAGUUCUCUAAAUAAUCUCACAAACCUCCUUUAUCUCUCUUUCUAUAUGCAUUAACUUCUACAUGUGGAAAGAAACGCACCAAUACUUCUCCAUUUGUAUAACUUUCAGCAAACUAAAAUAUAUAAAAGUUUUUGAAUACCUUAUGCCGUCUUUGUAUUAAAUCAGUUUUAAUUUGCAAUUCAUCCAGUGAGCGUAGCCCAGCUGGCUACAGUACUUCGACUCGAUUCUUCAAAGCAUCAAUAAAUGGAAUGGCAUUCAAUAUAUUGUUUUAUAUUUAAAAUUAAAAUUUUAUUUAAAUAAAGACAAAUUUAAAAAAAAAAA
Hydra vulgaris (swiftwater hydra) is the source of this 596-nucleotide non-coding RNA. The record is from RefSeq and is a predicted model, not a curated record. NCBI's taxonomy places the organism in Eukaryota, Metazoa, Cnidaria, Hydrozoa, Anthoathecata, Hydridae.